UAAAAAACAAACAAAAAA
This 18-nucleotide small RNA is filed under the name Arabidopsis thaliana (thale cress). RNAcentral describes it as "ATSL018140". Lineage: Eukaryota; Viridiplantae; Streptophyta; Magnoliopsida; Brassicales; Brassicaceae. The record is from RNAcentral.